AUGUUUGACGGAGUUGAGCGGAUGCUUCGAGCAGGCAGGUAUAUGCCAGGGCUAAGGAGGAAUCUAAUUUCGCUUGGUGUUCUUCAUGAUGGUGGUAUGGAAUUCCGUUGUGAUCGGGAUAAGAAGACCAUGAAAAUCAUGGAAGAUGGAAUGACUGUGAUGAUAGGAGAGAGGACGGCUUCGCAUCUUUACAAGUUGCAAGGGAGCACUAUUGCAGGAGUAGCAGUGGAGUCCCACGAUGGCGGCGGGUCUGGCCUGUUGGGUAGCUCUCAGUAA
RNAcentral lists this ribosomal RNA (276 nucleotides) under Triticum aestivum (bread wheat). RNAcentral's name for it is "partial small subunit ribosomal RNA". The record is from RNAcentral. Lineage: Eukaryota; Viridiplantae; Streptophyta; Magnoliopsida; Poales; Poaceae.